This 73-nucleotide transfer RNA is filed under the name Schizochytrium sp. TIO1101. RNAcentral's name for it is "tRNA-Trp". It matches the Rfam family "tRNA". From Rfam's summary of the family: Transfer RNA (tRNA) molecules are approximately 80 nucleotides in length. Their secondary structure includes four short double-helical elements and three loops (D, anti-codon, and T loops). Lineage: Eukaryota; Bigyra; Thraustochytrida; Thraustochytriidae. RNAcentral also lists the same sequence under 1 other name. The record is from RNAcentral.
AAGGGAAUAGCUCAAUGGUAGAGUGUUGGUCUCCAAAGCCAUUUGUUGUAGGUUCGAAUCCUAUUUCCCUUGC